This 1307-nucleotide ribosomal RNA is filed under the name Polyphaga plancyi. RNAcentral describes it as "16S ribosomal RNA". The stretch from base 868 to 1232 matches the Rfam family "Archaeal large subunit ribosomal RNA", at positions 2150 to 2716 of the family's 2987-position model. The record is from RNAcentral. Lineage: Eukaryota; Metazoa; Arthropoda; Insecta; Blattodea; Corydiidae.
UUAAUUAUGAACUUAUUUUUAUAUUAUUUGGUCUAUUAUUUUAUUGAAAUAUCUUUUGGUUAUUGUAUUGAUUAAUGAUUUAAUUGUUUUUGUGAUAGUUUAUUUUGUACUGUGUAGGUUAUGUUAUAGGAUUUUUUAUAAGUAAAUUUGUUUUAUUGUACCUUGUGUAUCAGGGUUUAUUUAAAUUUAAAAUUUAUUUUGAUUUUCUCGAUUUUAGAAGAGUUAAUGAAUUAUUUUGGUUAUAAUUAUAAAUAUAUCAGUAAUAUUUAUUGGUGGUGAAAUGUUAUUCGAUUCUGAUGAUAUCUAGUUCCUUGAGAAAUAAAUUAAAUUUGUGUUUAUAUUAUUGAUAUUUAUUUGUGUGAUUUUAUGUUUUAAUUAAAGCAACUAUUUUGGGGGAUUACCUCUGAAAUAUAUUUUUAUAAUUUAUUAAUGUUUUUUAUUUUGUUGGGUUUAGGAAUAAUUAUAUUUUUAAGUAUGUUGAAAUUUGUUUAUGAUUAAUUUAUUUAUUUAUUGUAAUGGUUUAGAUUUUUUAUUAAGGUAAUUUAUUUAAUUGUAUUGUAUUAUUAUUUAUGAUGAAAUUAGUAUAAUUUUCUUUGUUGAUUGAUAUUUUCUGUUUGACAAUUUGUUAUUAGGAAUUCGGCAAAUAUAUUGUUCAUUUGUUUAACAAAAACAUUUUCUCUUGUUUUUAAUUGGAGAUAUAGUCUGCCCACUGAUAGUUUUGAAGGGCCGCGGUAUUUUGACCGUGCAAAGGUAGCAUAAUCAUUAGUUUUUUAAUUGAGAACUGGAAUGAAUGGCUGGAUGAGAUAAUGGCUUUCUUAUAAUUAAUUUAUUAUAAUUUAACUUUUGGAUUAAAAGGUCUAAAUAUAUUUAUGGGACGAGAAGACCCUAUAGAGUUUAAUAAUAGGUAUUUGUUAAGUUGUUGGUUAAAAUAAUAAUAGGUUUAUAAUUAUUUAGUUGGGGUGACUGUGAGAAUUAGUUAACUCUUAUUUAAUUUUUUUUACUGAUUUGUAUGUAUUGGAUCCAAUAUUGUUGAUUAUGAGACUAAAUUACCUUAGGGAUAACAGCGUAAUCCUUUUGGAGAGUUCUAAUCGAUAAAGGGAAUUGCGACCUCGAUGUUGGAUUUAAGAUAAAUUAUUGGUGAAGAAUUUAAUAUAAUUAGGUCUGUUCGACCUUUAAAAUUUUACAUGAUCUGAGUUCAAACCGGCGUGAGCCAGGUUGGUUUCUAUCUAUAAUUUUGUUUAAUACUUUAGUACGAAAGGACCAAGUGUUUUUAAUAAUUUUUAUUAAUAUUUUAUUGAUUAAUUUUG